CACGGAUCCAGACUUUGAUYYYCGCUCAGAUUGAACGCUGGCGGCAGGCCUAACACAUGCMAKUCGAACGGUAACAGGAAACAGCUUGCUGUUUCGCUGACGAGUGGCGGACGGGUGAGUAAUGUCUGGGAAACUGCCUGAUGAAGGGGGAUAACUACUGGAAACGGUAGCUAAUACCGCAUAACGUCGCAAGACCAAAGAGGGGGACCCUCGGGCCUCUUGCCAUCGGACGUGCCCAGAUGGGAUUAGCUUGUUGGUGGGGUAACGGCUCACCAAGGCGACGAUCCCUAGCUGGUCUGAGAGGAUGACCAGCCACACUGGAACUGAGACACGGUCCAGACUCCUACGGGAGGCAGCAGUGGGGAAUAUUGCACAAUGGGCGCAAGCCUGAUGCAGCCAUGCCGCGUGUAUGAAGAAGGCCUUCGGGUUGUAAAGUACUUUCAGCGGGGAGGAAGGGAGUAAAGUUAAUACCUUUGCUCAUUGACGUUACCCGCAGAAGAAGCACCGGCUAACUCCGUGCCAGCAGCCGCGGUAAUACGGAGGGUGCAAGCGUUAAUCGGAAUUACUGGGCGUAAAGCGCACGCAGGCGGUUUGUUAAGUCAGAUGUGAAAUCCCCGGGCUCAACCUGGGAACUGCAUCUGAUACUGGCAAGCUUGAGUCUCGUAGAGGGGGGUAGAAUUCCAGGUGUAGCGGUGAAAUGCGUAGAGAUCUGGAGGAAUACCGGUGGCGAAAGCGGCCCCCUGGACGAAGACUGACGCUCAGUGCGAAAGCGUGGGGAGCAAACAGGAUUAGAUACCUUGGUAGUCCACGCUGUAAACGAUGUCGACUUGGAGGUUGUGCCCUUGAGGCGUGGCUUCCGGAGCUAACGCGUUAAGUCGACCGCCUGGGGAGUACGGCCGCAAGGUUAAAACUCAAAUGAAUUGACGGGGGCCCGCACAAGCGGUGGAGCAUGUGGUUUAAUUCGAUGCAACGCGAAGAACCUUACCUGGUCUUGACAUCCACGGAAGUUUUCAGAGAUGAGAAUGUGCCUUCGGGAACCGUGAGACAGGUGCUGCAUGGCUGUCGUCAGCUCGUGUUGUGAAAUGUUGGGUUAAGUCCCGCAACGGGCGCAACCCUUAUCCUUUGUUGCCAGCGGUCCGGCCGGGAACUCAAAGGAGACUGCCAGUGAUAAACUGGAGGAAGGUGGGGAUGACGUCAAGUCAUCAUGGCCCUUACGACCAGGGCUACACACGUGCUACAAUGGCGCAUACAAAGAGAAGCGACCUCGCGAGAGCAAGCGGACCUCAUAAAGUGCGUCGUAGUCCGGAUUGGAGUCUGCAACUCGACUCCAUGAAGUCGGAAUCGCUAGUAAUCGUGGAUCAGAAUGCCACGGUGAAUACGUUCCCGGGCCUUGUACACACCGCCCGUCACACCAUGGGAGUGGGUUGCAAAAGAAGUAGGUAGCUUAACCUUCGGGAGGGCGCUUACCACUUUGUGAUUCAUGACUGGGGUGAAGUCGUAACAAGCUAGCCGUAAGCUUCAC
Molecule: ribosomal RNA, 1522 nt
Filed under: Escherichia coli
Lineage: Bacteria; Pseudomonadati; Pseudomonadota; Gammaproteobacteria; Enterobacterales; Enterobacteriaceae
Description: bacterial SSU rRNA
Rfam family: Bacterial small subunit ribosomal RNA
Source: RNAcentral